GACGAACGCUGGCGGCGUGCCUAAUACAUGCAAGUUGAGCGCUGAAGGUUGGUACUUGUACCGACUGGAUGAGCAGCGAACGGGUGAGUAACGCGUGGGGAAUCUGCCUUUGAGCGGGGGACAACAUUUGGAAACGAAUGCUAAUACCGCAUAAAAACUUUAAACACAAGUUUUAAGUUUGAAAGAUGCAAUUGCAUCACUCAAAGAUGAUCCCGCGUUGUAUUAGCUAGUUGGUGAGGUAAAGGCUCACCAAGGCGAUGAUACAUAGCCGACCUGAGAGGGUGAUCGGCCACAUUGGGACUGAGACACGGCCCAAACUCCUACGGGUGGCAGCAGUAGGGAAUCUUCGGCAAUGGACGAAAGUCUGACCGAGCAACGCCGCGUGAGUGAAGAAGGGUUUCGGAUCGUAAAACUCUGUUGGUAGAGAAGAACGUUGGUGAGAGUGGAAAGCUCAUCAAGUGACGGUAACUACCCAGAAAGGGACGGCUAACUACGUG
RNAcentral lists this ribosomal RNA (497 nucleotides) under uncultured bacterium. Its description in RNAcentral is "partial 16S ribosomal RNA". It matches the Rfam family "Bacterial small subunit ribosomal RNA", at positions 28 to 507 of the family's 1533-position model. The record is from RNAcentral.